This 27-nucleotide non-coding RNA is filed under the name Macaca fascicularis (crab-eating macaque). RNAcentral also lists the same sequence under 1 other name. The record is from RNAcentral. Lineage: Eukaryota; Metazoa; Chordata; Mammalia; Primates; Cercopithecidae.
UGAACUUGCAGAUGUCUUAACAGAGGC